This 229-nucleotide ribosomal RNA is filed under the name uncultured bacterium. RNAcentral describes it as "partial 16S ribosomal RNA". It matches the Rfam family "Bacterial small subunit ribosomal RNA", at positions 568 to 796 of the family's 1533-position model. The record is from RNAcentral.
UAUGUAGGCGGAAUAAUAAGUCAGUGGUGAAAUCUCUCGGCUCAACCGGGAAACUGCCAUUGAUACUGUUAUUCUUGAGUACAGUUGAAGUGGGCGGAAUGUGUCAUGUAGCGGUGAAAUGCUUAGAUAUGACACAGAACACCGAUAGCGAAGGCAGCUCACUAAGCUGUAACUGACGCUCAUGCACGAAAGCGUGGGGAUCAAACAGGAUUAGAUACCCUGGUAGUCC